GUACACGCUGUGACUAGCAUAUCAAUAAGCGGAGGAAAAGAAACUAACAAGGAUUCCCCUAGUAACGGCGAGUGAAGCGGGAAGAGCUCAAAUUUGAAAUCUUAAAGGGUUUCCCUUUACGAAUUGUAGUUUAAAGAAGUGUUUUCUGUUGAGGUUUUGGUAAAAGUUCUUUGGAAUAGGACAUCAUAGAGGGUGAGAAUCCCGUAUUUGACCUUUACUUUCAACUUUGUGAUACACUUUCAAAGAGUCGGAUUGUUUGGGAAUGCAGUCCAAAAUGGGUGGUAAAUUUCAUCUAAAGCUAAAUAUUGGCGAGAGACCGAUAGCGAACAAGUACCGUGAGGGAAAGAUGAAAAGAACUUUGAAAAGAGAGUUAAACAGUACGUGAAAUUGUCAAAAGGGAAGCGUUUGACACCAGUGUUGUUUUUCUGAAAAUCAAUUAAAGAACUGUUUAUGCUAAGUUGUUUAGACUUUAUCAGCUAACUGUUUAGUUUUGAGCUUUUCUUUAAUGCACUUUUCAGUUAACAAGUCAACAUCAAUUUCUUUUGCUGUAAAAAAGCUUGAGGAAGGUGGCUUGAGAUUCGUCUUAAGUGUUUAUAGCCUCUUGCCUAUGCAGUCGGAGAGAUUGAGGUCUGCAGCGUAGAUCCUUCGGGGCUAAAUGCAUUUGUGCUAAGUUAUAGCAUUUUAUAGACAACUUGUUGACUAUGAUUUGUCUUGUAGCUUACUCGCUUAUGUUAUUUUACCUACGCUUAGGAUGUUGACUGAUAUGUAGUCGUA
This 774-nucleotide ribosomal RNA is filed under the name uncultured Neocallimastigales. RNAcentral describes it as "partial large subunit ribosomal RNA". It matches the Rfam family "Eukaryotic large subunit ribosomal RNA", at positions 22 to 644 of the family's 3401-position model. Lineage: Eukaryota; Fungi; Neocallimastigomycota; Neocallimastigomycetes; Neocallimastigales. The record is from RNAcentral.